Molecule: ribosomal RNA, 866 nt
Filed under: Amanita flavipes
Lineage: Eukaryota; Fungi; Basidiomycota; Agaricomycetes; Agaricales; Amanitaceae
Description: partial large subunit ribosomal RNA
Rfam family: Eukaryotic large subunit ribosomal RNA
Source: RNAcentral
UUCCCUUAGUAACUGCGAGUGAAGAGGGAAAAGCUCAAAUUUAAAAUCUGGCAGUGUUUCACUGUCCGAGUUGUAACCUAGAGAAGUGUAACCUGUGCUGGACCGUGUAUAAGUCUCCUGGAAUGGAGCAUCAUAGAGGGUGAGAAUCCCGUCUUUGACAUGGACUACCAGUGCAUUGUGGUUGCGCUCUCAACGAGUCGAGUUGUUUGGGAAUGCAGCUCUAAAUGGGUGGUAAAUUCCAUCUAAAGCUAAAUAUUGGCGAGAGACCGAUAGCGAACAAGUACCGUGAGGGAAAGAUGAAAAGAACUUUGGAAAGAGAGUUAAACAGUAUGUGAAAUUGUUGAAAGGGAAACGUUUGAAGUCAGUCGCGUUGGUUGGGGAUCAGCCUGACAUUGUUGGGUGUACUUCCUGGUUGACGGGCCAACAUCAGUUUUGACUGCCAGAAAAAGGCCAAAGGAAUGUGGCACCUUUGGGUGUGUUAUAGCCCUUGGUCGUAUAUGGUGGUUGGGACUGAGGAAAGCAGCGUGCCGAAAGGCCGGGUUUCGACCACGUUCACGCUGAGGAUGUUGGCAUAAUGGCUUUAAGCGACCCGUCUUGAAACACGGACCAAGGAGUCUAACAUGCGUGCGAGUGUUUGGGUGGAAAACCCUUACGCGUAAUGAAAGUGAAAGUUGAGAUCCCUGUCGCGGGGAGCAUCGACGCCCGGACCAGAACUUUUGGGACGGAUCUGCGGUAGAGCAUGUAUGUUGGGACCCGAAAGAUGGUGAACUAUGCCUGAAUAGGGUGAAGCCAGAGGAAACUCUGGUGGAGGCUCGUAGCGAUUCUGACGUGCAAAUCGAUCGUCAAAUUUGGGUAUAGGGGCGAAA